Long non-coding RNA from Helicoverpa zea (corn earworm), 436 nucleotides. RefSeq lists it as uncharacterized. NCBI's taxonomy places the organism in Eukaryota, Metazoa, Arthropoda, Insecta, Lepidoptera, Noctuidae. The record is from RefSeq and is a predicted model, not a curated record. The transcript is spliced from 2 exons.
AUAGAAGAAAUAUUGGAGAACACGGAUGUGUACUCCUCUUUCCAUAUGUCCUUCAUAUCAUAUUCCAACGUAAACCUGAGGCGUCUUGACCUAUGGCGAAGGAUGUGUGGUGAAACAGGGUGAGGAGAUUCACCGCUGCCUUCACUUCAUUAUUUAUUUACUUUUCAAGUCACCGGGAAUGUAAUCGUAGGAUGCAGCUAGUAUCCAGACCACCAGAAUAGGCGAGAAUUACGAGAUCUUUCGCCAUGACUAGACCCGAUUGAUUGCUUCUACGGUCGUGGAUAAACUGAAAGCGACGAUGAACUUCUGCAGAGGGUGCUGAUAACCCGGGGUCAACACAAUAGUGAAGUCUCUUUGUGAUUGGAAUUUAUUGUAAUUUCUAUAAAUAUAAUUAAACAAGCGGCACGCCUGGCUUUGCGUAGUCGUAAUUACCAUA